RNAcentral lists this ribosomal RNA (384 nucleotides) under uncultured Staphylococcus sp. RNAcentral's name for it is "bacterial SSU rRNA". It matches the Rfam family "Bacterial small subunit ribosomal RNA", at positions 73 to 449 of the family's 1533-position model. The record is from RNAcentral. Lineage: Bacteria; Bacillati; Bacillota; Bacilli; Caryophanales; Staphylococcaceae.
GAGGAGCUUGCUCCUUUGACGUUAGCGGCGGACGGGUGAGUAACACGUAGGUAACCUACCUAUAAGACUGGGAUAACUUCGGGAAACCGGAGCUAAUACCGGAUAAUAUUUCGAACCGCAUGGUUCGAUAGUGAAAGAUGGCUUUGCUAUCACUUAUAGAUGGACCUGCGCCGUAUUAGCUAGUUGGUAAGGUAACGGCUUACCAAGGCAACGAUACGUAGCCGACCUGAGAGGGUGAUCGGCCACACUGGAACUGAGACACGGUCCAGACUCCUACGGGAGGCAGCAGUAGGGAAUCUUCCGCAAUGGGCGAAAGCCUGACGGAGCAACGCCGCGUGAGUGAUGAAGGUCUUCGGAUCGUAAAACUCUGUUAUUAGGGAAGAA